Molecule: long non-coding RNA, 479 nt
Organism: Zingiber officinale
Lineage: Eukaryota; Viridiplantae; Streptophyta; Magnoliopsida; Zingiberales; Zingiberaceae
Exons: 2
Source: RefSeq, a predicted model, not a curated record
CACUUCUCUCGUGUUCGACGGCGCCUCUUCUUCUCGGGCGGAAAUACAAAGGAAGCUAGAGCACGAUUCCGGCGGUCGGCGGGCGGCUAACUCUGGGGGGUUCGUCACCGUCGUGAUCCUUGCGUCGGGGAGGACUUGUGAGCACGAAGAGGAGCCGGAAACCUCGAGUGGUCAGAACCCUAGAAGCUGUCCUUCUCAACUGUAAGUCCAAGAAAUCACAUGAUAAAGGAAAAGAAAAGAUCUAGCAAGGAAGGCGACAAGGUGGUGCGGAUGGUGUGUGAUGCCAGGACUAUGGAAGUCUUGGGGCUAGAAAAGAGUUAUUUUAGUUUUCUUUCUUUAUUACUAAGUUUUCCAUGUUUUAGUGGACUGUAAACAUUUGAGAUUGUAUUUUGAGUUCCAUGUCAUGUGAGAUUGUUUUAGAUAGUAUGCUAAGAUGAAUUAAGUAUAGUAUGUAUUUUUGGUGUUUGACACAUAUUUAA